UGAAACUGCUCGGAAGGCAAACGGGUGGGCCCUCGAAAUCCUCUUGCGGGGAGAUUCAGUCGGGAGCCGGAGAGGCGGCAGCGGGCGACGGACCCUCGAGAGGGACGGUCCCCGCGCCGCGGUCUCGCCGGCGCCCGACGCACUUCUCCCCGCACUCCGGACGCCGCAAUGGAUCGGGUAGCUGCGAGAGUCGGCCUUGGGGCCGCCCCAGGCAGGUGGCCGGAUCGCCGGCACCCGUGCCGGCCCUCCGGUUAUUCACGGGGCGGUCGCGUGGCGCGACACCCGAUCGAGGUCGACGUUCCCCCUGCGGGGAACACUCCGUCUCCGUCUCCUCGAGGCGCGGCGGCCGGGACAGUGUGCGCCGACGCUGCCGAACCACUCCCCGUAGUGGCCGGCGCUGCGGUACGCCGUCGUUGGUCUGCGGAACCGCCGCGGAGGGACGCCGCGGAUUGCGGCGAGUAGGUCGGUCACCCACCCGACCCGUCUUGAAACACGGACCAAGGAGUCUAACAUGUGCGCGAGUCGCAGGGUCUUGCUCAGGCCCCCGGGCGCAAUGAAAGUGACGGUCCCCCGGACCGGGCUGGGACUCCCGCCGCCGCGGCGGCGGGAGGCACCAGCGACCCGUCCCCUCCGACCCGUCGGUGGGGCGGAGUCAGAGCGCACACGUUGGGACCCGAAAGAUGGUGAACUAUGCCUGGGCAGAACGAAGCCAGAGGAAACUCUGGGUGGAGGUUCGCAGCGGUUCUGACGUGCAAAUCGAUCGUCAGACCCGGG
Molecule: ribosomal RNA, 774 nt
Filed under: Carapoia sp. Br15-62
Lineage: Eukaryota; Metazoa; Arthropoda; Arachnida; Araneae; Pholcidae
Description: partial 28S ribosomal RNA
Rfam family: Eukaryotic large subunit ribosomal RNA (bases 497-774)
Source: RNAcentral